Molecule: non-coding RNA, 46 nt
Organism: Octopus bimaculoides (California two-spot octopus)
Lineage: Eukaryota; Metazoa; Mollusca; Cephalopoda; Octopoda; Octopodidae
Source: Rfam
GAAAAGGCCCUUUUCAGGGCCACUUUACAUACGUUUAUUACACCAU